GUAGGUGAACCUGCGGAAGGAUCAUUAAACUAAGCCGGCCUGGAAACGGGCUUCGGCGUCGGGUCUCGCUUUGCAAAAAGUGUAGGCUGUCUGAAAACCCUUGAAUAUAAAACUUCGUUGCUUUGGCAGGCCGCCUCCUUUGGCGUUGGCCCCGGCUAACAGCGCCUGCCAGAGGCCAAAAACUCUACUGUCUUUGACGUCUGAG
RNAcentral lists this unclassified non-coding RNA (205 nucleotides) under plant metagenome. Its description in RNAcentral is "partial contains small subunit ribosomal RNA, internal transcribed spacer 1, and 5.8S ribosomal RNA". The record is from RNAcentral.